Molecule: ribosomal RNA, 317 nt
Filed under: Clostridioides difficile
Lineage: Bacteria; Bacillati; Bacillota; Clostridia; Peptostreptococcales; Peptostreptococcaceae
Description: partial 23S ribosomal RNA
Rfam family: Bacterial large subunit ribosomal RNA
Source: RNAcentral
GAGGUAUCGUAAUUGAAGAGGUUUGGAAAGACCCACCACAGAAGGUAAUAGUCCUGUAUGUUAAACGAGAAGACUUUAGAUAUGAUCCAGAGUACCACGGGACACGUGAAACCCUGUGGGAAGCAGGAGGGACCACCCUCCAAGGCUAAAUACUACCUAGUGACCGAUAGCGUAUAGUACCGUGAGGGAAAGGUGAAAAGAACCCCGGGAGGGGAGUGAAAUAGAACCUGAAACCCUGCACUUACAAGCUGUGGAAGCACAUUUCUUGUGUGACCGCGUACUUUUUGUAGAACGGGCCAACGAGUUACGUUAAGUAG